Molecule: long non-coding RNA, 142 nt
Filed under: Zonotrichia albicollis (white-throated sparrow)
Lineage: Eukaryota; Metazoa; Chordata; Aves; Passeriformes; Passerellidae
Description: lncRNA (ENSZALG00000003162.1)
Source: RNAcentral
CCCAGUUUCCCAUUCCCAGUUUCCCCAGUUUCCCAUCCCAGUCCAUCCCAGUCCAUCCCAGUACCUGCAGCGGGUACGUGCGGUCGGGGUCGAAGGCGCUCAGGUCCCAUUCCCAUAUCAGUUCCCCCAUUCCCAUCCCAGU